Gossypium arboreum is the source of this 108-nucleotide small nucleolar RNA. It matches the Rfam family "Plant small nucleolar RNA R71". From Rfam's summary of the family: R71 is a member of the C/D box family of snoRNAs containing the C (UGAUGA) and D (CUGA) box motifs. Multiple nearly identical copies of this snoRNA have been identified in Arabidopsis, and it is thought to function as a 2'-O-ribose methylation guide for 18S ribosomal RNA. NCBI's taxonomy places the organism in Eukaryota, Viridiplantae, Streptophyta, Magnoliopsida, Malvales, Malvaceae. The record is from Rfam.
AUACCAUGAUGAGGACAUCUCUAUACAAGCAAUUUAAAAUGUUCCCAAGCCUCGUAGAAGUUUUCUCCUUCCAUUUUUUUUGAAAUUGGCAAUAUCUCUUCUUAGUUG